UGAACGCUGGCGGCGUGCCUAAUACAUGCAAGUCGAGCGAACAGAUGAGGAGCUUGCUCCUCUGACGUUAGCGGCGGACGGGUGAGUAACACGUGGAUAACCUACCUAUAAGACUGGGAUAACUUCGGGAAACCGGAGCUAAUACCGGAUAAUAUAUUGAACCGCAUGGUUCAAUAGUGGAAGACGGUUUUGCUGUCAAUUAUAGAUGGAUCCGCGCCGCAUUAGCUAGUUGGUAAGGUAACGGCUUACCAAGGCAACGAUGCGUAGCCGACCUGAGAGGGUGAUCGGCCACACUGGAACUGAGACACGGUCCAGACUCCUACGGGAGGCAGCAGUAGGGAAUCUUCCGCAAUGGGCGAAAGCCUGACGGAGCAACGCCGCGUGAGUGAUGAAGGUCUUCGGAUCGUAAAACUCUGUUAUUAGGGAAGAACAAAUGUGUAAGUAACUAUGCACGUCUUGACGGUACCUAAUCAGAAAGCCACGGCUAACUACGUG
Molecule: ribosomal RNA, 495 nt
Filed under: uncultured bacterium
Lineage: Bacteria
Description: partial 16S ribosomal RNA
Rfam family: Bacterial small subunit ribosomal RNA
Source: RNAcentral